UGAUAUGAAGUCAAUUACCAUGUCACUGAGGAACAGGUAGUAUGAUGCAUAUCAAUUAGGUAAUUUUAAUAAAAUGACAUAGAACUAAAUGAAAAAAGAAAAGGUUGAGUAUCAUAUCAUGAUAUCAUAUCAUCUUAAAUGAUAUGCUACCGUGCGUUAUGCAUGACAACAAAUAAAUAAUUCCAUAAUACUAACAUACAGAUAUAGUAUCAUAUGCAUAAUACUAAUAUAUGAUGGCAGGCCGGUGAAAUACGAGACGACAACACGUACGUCUUAAAGUUCCAUAACGCUUAAAGGAAUGAUGAUAGGCUCCAUUAAAUCCUCCAAACGACUCGCCGAGUUCCAAAAUUAAACUGCAUAUGGUCUCGUACGUCUGUAUUUUCUUAGGGUAGACACCGAGCCAGAUAACAUUAAACCGAUGACCCAGACCCAGCUCUCACCAACAACAGAGCGCAGUGCUUCAUCCACAGAUUUUAUCAGCCAUCAACUCGAGCCUAAUUUAUAAUAGACCAAAAUGCAGAGUACGAGUAGAAUUCUCCCCAGCCCUUUGUACCGUAUAAUAAGCGCCUAGCUUUUGGAGCCGUGCCAUAUGUUCACGGGAGGGCACGGCAGGGCCAUGGCCGGCCCGGCCGAAAGGGGCGGCUGCACAUGCACAGCUUGCCGCUGGCCGUUGACUCUCCUGCCAACCUGCCACAACCAGCCAUCCUUCAGUUUUUGGAUAUACUCCCUCCUAAAUAUAAUUAUUUUUCGAUAUUUCAUUAAAGAUCUGCAUACGGAGCAAAAUAAAUGAAUCUACACUCUAAAACAUGUUCAUAUACAUCGGUAUGUAGUUCCUAGUGAAACAUCUAAAAAGACAUAUAUUUAGAAACGAAGGGAGUACAAGCCUGACAAGUAUAGCAACUAGCUAUCUUCGAACAUAUAAAUAUCUUAUGGAAAGCAUUCCUAAUUAAUCAUGAUUUUGGUAUUACGUCCAUGACAGGGCCCAUUAUAUGUAAAAAAUAUUACUGUAUUUGUUAUAAAAAAAUCGACAGUGCUAAUAUCUGCAAGAUUGAUUGCCUGUAUAUUCUCUAAGAGACUGCUCCCUUGAGCUCGUAGAAGUGCCUUCAACAGCAAUCGGUUACACCCGUGCGAAAUAGCCACACAUAGAGAAGCAUAAUCAAUCUAGUUCUUCGAAUAUCUAGCAAUAUCCAUUUUGUAUGCAGGCCGUAUCCUUCACCAGUCCGCUUUCACGCUAGUUAUUAGAUUCAUAUCCCGAAAACAGCCAAAAGGAAAAGGAAAGCGAGAAUGAAAAGGACGGUUAGGCCAACUUUGAACGCAAGUCAAAAGAUUUCCGACCAUGGAUUUCUCUAGCAAGUUGACAGAGACAAUCAAUUUCCUCAAGAAAAUUCGGGACUCCCACUGCCGAGUGCCUGCACAAUCAAAGGUCAAAACCGGAGCACGCACCACCCUACUCUGAUGUCCUACCGUCUCACACCUCGCCUCCCUCCCUCAUCCUUCACUGCCGCCUGCCGCCACCAUUGUUGCUUGGGAAACCAGCUUUACGCCCCAAAUGGCUUAGAUAUCACAUAGCUCCUGAACACAGCAAACAAGAACCUCUCUUCCCCAUUCAAGAGCAUCAGCAUAGCUCUUCUUGCAUCAAUGGGGCAUUUCUUGAUGAAACGCACUACCACAUGGCCAACCUGUUUCAUCCUAUGGUGCUUGUCCACGCAGCUUCUCUUCCUGUCCCCGGUCUACUCCCUCAACCAAAGCUCCUGCAACCCAGAUGAUUAUGGUGCACUGGAAGGCUUCCUGAGAGGUCUCACCGGAGGCAUCAGCAGCUGGAUGCUCUCAAACACGACAUCCGAAGUGGCUAACUGCUGUGCAUGGGCGGGUGUCACAUGCGACGCUCGCGGCCGGGUCAUCAGGCUGGACCUCCAUGGCAGGAACCUCAAGGGCGAGCUGGCACUUUCGCUUGCACAGCUGGACCAUCUCCAGUGGCUCAACCUCUCCAAUAACAACCUCCGUGGUGCCAUCCCGGCACCCCUCGUUCAGCUCCAUAGGCUGCAGCGGCUCGACGUAAGCAACAACGAGCUUUCCGGCACAUUCCCGGCCAACGUGUCACUCCCAGUGAUUGAUGUGUUCAACAUAUCCUUCAACUCAUUCAGCGGCACCCAUCCCACACUCCAUGGUUCAGCUCAGCUUACGGUGUUCGACGCAGGGUACAAUAUGUUCACCGGGAGAAUUGAUUCAAGCAUCUGUGAGUCAUCUCGAGUGAUCCGUGUGAUAAGAUUCACUUCGAAUCUCUUUGCCGGGGAACUGCCGGCAGGCUUCGGAAACUGCACAAAGCUCGAGGAGCUAUAUGCCGAGCUCAACAGCAUCUCCGGGAGCUUGCCAGACAACCUAUUCAAGUUGCAAUUUCUGAAGAAUUUGUCUCUGCAGGAGAAUCAGCUCACUGGUAGGAUGAGCCCGAGGUUUGGCAAUCUGUCCAGCCUUGCUCAGCUGGACAUUUCUUUUAAUUCCUUCUCUGGACAACUUCCAGAUGUUUUUGGUAGGCUUGGCAAGUUAGAGUACUUCUCUGCACAGUCCAACCUCUUCAGAGGCCCAUUGCCUGCUUCAUUGUCCCAGUUGCCAUCACUGAAGAUGAUGUACUUGCGAAACAAUUCACUGAAUGGAAGGAUCAACCUCAAUUGCUUGGAGAUGAGACAACUGUGCUCACUUGACCUUGGGACAAAUAGGUUCAUUGGCACAAUUGAUAGCUUGUCAGAUUGCCAUCACCUCAGAAGCCUAAAUCUUGGCACAAACAACCUCAGUGGCGAAAUACCAGCCGAUUUCAGAAAGCUUCAGUUUUUGUCCUACAUCUCACUUUCGAACAACAGCUUCACAAAUAUUUCCUCGGCAUUAUCUGUCCUUCAGGACUGUCCAAGCCUAACAAGCCUUGUGUUGACAAAAAACUUCCAUGAUGGGAAGGCCUUGCCGAUGACUGGAAUAUAUGGCUUUCAUAAGAUCCAAGUGUUUGUGAUUGCUAAUAGCCAUCUUUCUGGAGCAAUACCACCAUGGCUAGCUAAUUUCAGAGAAUUGAAGGUCCUAGAUUUGUCAUGGAAUCAACUGUCUGGGGAUAUUCCUGCAUGGAUUGGUGAUCUCAAGUUUCUAUUCUAUGUGGAUCUUUCUAACAAUUCACUUACAGGGGUAAUACCAAACAGUUUCUCGAGUAUGAAGGGCCUUCUUACAUGCAACAGCUCACAGCAAUCCACAGAGACUGAUUAUUUUCCAUUCUUCAUUAAAAGGAAUAAAACAGGCAAAGGGUUGCAGUACAAUCAGGUUAGCAGCUUCCCACCGUCUCUAGUUCUCAGCCAUAACAAGCUCAUAGGUGUCAUAUUGCCGGGCUUUGGAAGUCUCAAGAACCUGUAUACCUUGGACCUCAGUAACAACAACAUUUCUGGUAUCAUUCCUGAUGAGCUAUCAGGCAUGUCUAGCUUGGAAUCUUUGGAUUUGUCACAUAACAAUCUUACCGGAAGCAUUCCCUAUUCAUUGACAAAGCUGAAUUUUCUAUCAAGCUUCAGUGUGGCAUACAAUAAUCUAAUGGGCGUAGUUCCGUUAAGAGGGCAAUUCUCAACAUUCACAGGUUCUGAUUAUGAGGGGAACCCCAACCUCUGUGGCACCCGCUUUGGCUUACCCCUAUGUCAUUCGAAUCAUGCUCCCAUCAUGUCUGCAACAGGAAAUCGGAAGAAUAAAGGUCUCAUAUUAGGAAUAGUUAUUGGCCUUGCAAUUGGAGCAGUGAUGGUUUUGUCUGUUGCUGUUGUACUUGCAUUGAAGAGAAGCUUCAGAAGGCAGGAUCAUAUAGUCAAGGCUGUUGUAGAUACAAAUGUAGCAUUCGAGUUGGCACCAGCAUCACUGGUACUUCUGUUUCAGAACGAAGAUGAUGACAAGGCAUUGACUAUCAGUGACAUCUUGAAAUCUACAAACAACUUUGAUCAGGCUAACAUCAUUGGUUGUGGUGGGUUUGGUCUAGUGUACAAGGGAACACUACCAGAUGGAGCAAAGAUCGCCAUCAAAAGACUAUCGGGUGAUUUUGGCCAGAUGGAGAGGGAGUUCAAAGCAGAAGUGGAAACUUUAUCAAAAGCUAAGCAUCCUAAUCUUGUGCUUCUACAAGGUUACUGCAGGAAUGGCAGUGACAGGCUCCUGAUCUACUCUUACAUGGCAAAUGGCAGCCUAGACCACUGGCUUCAUGAAAAGCCUGAUGGUCCAUCCAGAUUAAACUGGCAAAGAAGGCUUCAGAUAGCCAAAGGAGCAGCACGGGGUUUGGCAUAUCUGCACUUGUCAUGCGAACCCCACAUACUACACCGUGACAUCAAGUCAAGCAACAUACUCCUGGAUGAGAAUUUUGAAGCUCAACUGGCUGAUUUUGGGCUUGCUCGGCUGAUUUGUCCCUAUGAUACACAUGUGACAACUGACCUAGUUGGCACACUAGGUUACAUCCCCCCUGAGUAUGGCCAGUCUUCAGUAGCCACUUUCAAAGGUGAUGUGUAUAGUUUUGGCAUUGUUCUACUGGAGUUAUUAACAGGAAAGAGGCCUGUUGAUAUGUGCAAGCGGAAGGGGGCUAGGGAGUUGGUCUCAUGGGUUAUACACAUGAAAGGAGAACACCGUGAAGCCGACGUAUUGGACCGUGCAAUGUAUGACAAGAAAUUUGAGAUGCAAAUGAUGAAGAUGAUUGAUAUUGCAUGUUUGUGCAUUAGCAAGUCACCAAAACUGAGACCAUUAACCCAUGAACUAGUGCUAUGGCUUGACAACGUUUGUGCUAGCAGUGAAGCAACAAAGUGAAGUUCAAUAACAGUGACCUUCGUCGAAAUACUUGUACUCACAGCCCAUGAACUAGUGCUAUGGCUUGCUAACUUUUGUGCUACCAUUGAAGCAACAGAGUGAAGUUCAAUAACAGUGACCAACGUGGGAAUACCUGUACUCAAUUUCUACCCUCUUGAAUAAUUUUUGUCACAGUGAAUAGCUGUAAGAUAUGACUGAUGAUUGCAUAUGAAUAUGAGAUGCUUCAUGGGAGUCUAACGUGCAAUUUAGUGCUCCCUGCGUUCCAUAAUACUCCCUCCGUUUCAAAAUAUAAGACCUUUUAGAGAUUUCACUAGGAGACUACAUACAAAGCAAAAUGAAUGAAUCUACACUCUAAAAUAUGUCUAAGUACAUCCGUAUGUAGUUUAUAGUGCAAUCUCUAAAAGGUCUUAUAUUUAAGAACGGAGGGAGUAGAAAGCACAUAAAUUUGCGUGAAGUCAAGAUUUCAAAACUUUGGCCACUAAUGUUUGUGAAAGUAUAUAAAUUUAGCAUGUAAGAAUGGUAUUGCCUGUCUUGUAAAAUACUUGUGUGCCAUAUGUUUGUUUACUAAUUUUGUAAGCAUUUCAUAAGUGAAAUUUAUAGUCAAAGUCAUGUAUUGGAGACUGUAAAAGUCAAACGUGCCUUAUAUUUCGGAACAGGGCAGCAACAGUAAAGCGUUUGUAUGCCAUAUGAAGUGAAGGAGAUCUUGUAAUAGCUCAUGCAAAUGUUACCUGCUUCUUCUUAUUAUCAUAUCCGAAUUUCUUGUAUGAAGUUCGGGAAGAUGUUUUAAGGAUGAUUUGCACCAUGGCUGACGAUUCACGUGUUUGAUGUUUCCCUGUAUUUACUUUAACCAAUCAUUCCAGUUAGUCAACUUAAAGUGUUUGUUAUAUUGCUUUCAAAGUUGUCACAAUAAUCAAGACGAGUUACCUAAAAUGAAAGGAACAUACAUAAAUGGUAAAAGCUCUGUACGAAACUGUACUUUCAUCAUAACCAUUGCAAUUUUCAAUUUCUUUAACUUGCGCUUCAGAUAAAUCAUAAAUGACUAGCGAUCAAAACCUGUGUUCCUGGCUUCUCAGUCUCGGACUGUCGACCUGUGUAACCUAUCCUAUACUGCUCCUGGCUAACCACUGCAACCGAGAAUUCGUUUCCACUAGUUUUAUUUAACUCAGAUAGUGGUAAAUCAGCGACAAUUAAUAUGGAUCAAAGGGAGUACUUGAUUUAAAAUCACAAAGCAGAGGCACGGAGGAACAUGAAGCAGGUUUAUGAUAGAAACCUGGCGUAUUCCUUGGCUCUGGCACUCUGUCGAACAGUUGGCUGGCAUGGGUAGCUGCUCCGUGUGACGCACCCAAGCCGGAGACUGCACGUCCCUGCCAUCCUGCACCGCCACAGCAGCACACUGCGCCGUCUAUGGGACGGCCCUUGACGUCACAGUCGUACCACGCACGCCGACGGGGGUUGCGGCCGCCGUCUCCUGGACUGGGACUCGGGGGGCCGGUUACGUCUCAUUUCCGGGCUUCAAACAGCGGACGCUACGCACAGACACAGAGGGGCGAGCGCUUUCGGCCGGCCCAACCGUCAUGUCAUCACUGUAUCAGUACAAGGAAUGCUGCAGCAACUUUCAAUCAUCUAUUUGCAUCUCAUCCGUCGAUCUUCGAUCUUACAAUGUCGGAGCAACGUACCGCUUCGCGCUUAAUCGGAGCGUCGUCAAC
Molecule: long non-coding RNA, 6503 nt
Filed under: Hordeum vulgare
Lineage: Eukaryota; Viridiplantae; Streptophyta; Magnoliopsida; Poales; Poaceae
Description: long non-coding RNA (HVUL_LNC016211)
Source: RNAcentral